RNAcentral lists this non-coding RNA (48 nucleotides) under Schistosoma mattheei. The record is from RNAcentral. Lineage: Eukaryota; Metazoa; Platyhelminthes; Trematoda; Strigeidida; Schistosomatidae.
GUUCAUAUGACGAGUCUCAGAUAGGACGAAACGCGUGUCAAACUGGAU